AGUUUUCUCAUGGAACUGCAUCUGGUUUGCACAACCAUUGAUAAUCUAUAAGAUCAUCUAUCGGUACAUAUAAAAAUACUGUUUUUGAAGUUUGGAAAAUAAAGUAGGAUCUUUCUGCAGUAAUCACAUUAUUUCUGUACUUUAAUAUAUCAAAGUCUUAUAAAUAACAUGUGAUCAGUAAUAACUAUAUGUAGAUCAUAUGAAAAAUGUAUGAUAUGCUACAGUCAUUGACAGUAAAUUUCAUAUACAUGUACAUGUAGAUAUCUGAAACAGAUAUGAUCUGCUACAGUAAAUAUGGAUACAUUUUGUACAUUAUCUAAGACAGAUUGAUUUUCAUUGUAUUACAUUGUAUUACAUGCAUGUACAGUAGAAAUGGAUAUCUGAGACAAAUAUGAUCUACAUACACUAACAGUGUACGUUUUAUUUCAGUAAACAUGGAUAUCUGAGGCUGGUACAUGUACAUGUAUGAUCUGUUACAGAAAAUACGGAUGUCUGAAGCAUAUCAUGUAAUCUGUUAUGGUAUGGAUGCUUUAAAAAUAUAUUAUUUUUUAAGAUAUUGGGGUCUUUAGCAGAUCAUAUAAUCUGUUACGGAAUGGAAUCUAUGAAUGUCUAAUAACAUGAAUAAAUAUAUUACAGAUGUAUGUGAUCUGUUAAAGUAUGGAUGUUUUCAAAAGAUCAAAUUACAUUGUAUCUGUUAAUGAAUGGAAUCUAUGGAUCCCUUCACUCUCUUGUUGCGCUAUUUAUAUGUGGUUACACUCCGUUUGCCAAGAAAAACCACAGCUGGACCUCAAUAUAUGAUGUUAUAAAUAAACAAACAGAG
RNAcentral lists this long non-coding RNA (820 nucleotides) under Mytilus galloprovincialis (Mediterranean mussel). Lineage: Eukaryota; Metazoa; Mollusca; Bivalvia; Mytilida; Mytilidae. The record is from RNAcentral.